RNAcentral lists this ribosomal RNA (864 nucleotides) under uncultured Acidovorax sp. Its description in RNAcentral is "bacterial SSU rRNA". It matches the Rfam family "Bacterial small subunit ribosomal RNA", at positions 31 to 847 of the family's 1533-position model. The record is from RNAcentral. Lineage: Bacteria; Pseudomonadati; Pseudomonadota; Betaproteobacteria; Burkholderiales; Comamonadaceae.
UGACGCUGGCGGAAUGCUUUACACACUGCAAGUCGAACGGCAGCACGGGACUUCGGUCUGGUGGCGAGUGGCGAACGGGUGAGUAAUACAUCGGAACGUGCCCAGUCGUGGGGGAUAACGUAGCGAAAGCUACGCUAAUACCGCAUACGAUCUAAGGAUGAAAGCGGGGGAUCGCAAGACCUCGCGCGAUUGGAGCGGCCGAUGGCAGAUUAGUAGUUGGUAGGGUAAAGGCCUACCAAGCCGACGAUCUGUAGCUGGUCUGAGAGGACGACCAGCCACACUGGGACUGAGACACGGCCCAGACUCCUACGGGAGGCAGCAGUGGGGAAUUUUGGACAAUGGGCGAAAGCCUGAUCCAGCCAUUCCGCGUGCAGGAUGAAGGCCCUCGGGUUGUAAACUGCUUUUGUACGGAACGAAAAGGUCCUGGUUAAUACCUGGGGCUCAUGACGGUACCGUAAGAAUAAGCACCGGCUAACUACGUGCCAGCAGCCGCGGUAAUACGUAGGGUGCAAGCGUUAAUCGGAAUUACUGGGCGUAAAGCGUGCGCAGGCGGUGAUGUAAGACAGAGGUGAAAUCCCCGGGCUCAACCUGGGAACUGCCUUUGUGACUGCAUCGCUGGAGUACGGCACGAGGGGGAUGGAAUUCCGCGUGUAGCAAGUGAAAAUGGCGUAGAAUAUGCGGGCAGGAACACCGAUUGUGCGAAGGGCAAUCCCCCUGGGCCUUGUACCUUGAACGCUUCAAUGCACGAAAAGACGUUGGGGAGCCAACACCCGGAUUCAGGAUACCCUGGUAAUCCAACGACCCCUUAAACGAACUUUCACUGGGUUGUUGGGGUCUUCCACUGGGACGUUCAGAAACAGAAAC